This is a long non-coding RNA of Gallus gallus (chicken), 2407 nucleotides long. NCBI's taxonomy places the organism in Eukaryota, Metazoa, Chordata, Aves, Galliformes, Phasianidae. The record is from Ensembl.
UAACAAGUUGAUAUUUACGAGAGAGGAGACGUUAAUUUCUGGCAGAAACCCCUCCCGAACAGCUCCGGCUGCACGAGGUGCACCGCUAGGUGGCACAGCCCACUUACAGAUCGCUGCCCUGUGCUCCCGUGCUGCCCGGGGCUGGGUGUGCCGCAAUCACAGCUCACAGAAAUGUAUAAACAAGCCAGAGAAGCGGCCAGCAUGAAAAAUUGCGAUGGAGGCAAGAAGACUUUUCAGGUAUCAGUCUUGAAUCCUGCUGGCAAACCGAGGUGGAGGCCUUGAUGUGGAAGAGAAAUAAAUGAUUCUUCUGUUUCAGGCAAAAUACAUAUGAAAUAUUUCAUACUACACCGUGGAUGCAUCAUGGAUGCUUGGACUACAGGACAAGAGCUUGUCAGGCCAUUCUCUGCAGAAAGAGUGCCUCUACCUCCAUGUCCAGGAGUGGAGUGAACGUCAUCAGUCACUGAAAACCACCCCAAACACCCACAGAUCCACAGAAUGGUUGACUUCCAGAGGGACAUCUUGGACCCAGGUGUCCCAGGACUGGCUUCCAUUAUGGCAGAAGCAGGACUACAGCCCACAGCUGCUGGCGGAGUGAAGACUCCCACUGUGCUGUUCUGUUUCAGCAUAAUGUACCUGGUUUGUGUUCCCUCCUGAACUCUAAUGCUUUAAGCAGUUAGAUUCAACACUUUGAAAGGGUAGAUAACAGUGGAAUAAGGGGAAAUGUUUUUAAGUUGAAGGAGGGAAGAUUUAGGUUGAAUGUCAAGGGGAAGUUCUUUACUGUGAGAGUGGUGAGGUGAUGGAACAGGUUGCCCAGAGAGGCUGUGGAUGCCAUGUCUCUGGAGGUGUUCAAGGCCAGGUUGGAUGGGGCCCGCGGUAGCCUGGUCUGGAAUUAAAUGUGGAGGUUGGUGGCCCUGCCUGUGGUGGCGGGGUUGGAGCUCCAUGAUCCUUGAGGUGCCUUCCAACCUGGGCCAUUCUGUAAUUCUGUGAUUUACUUAAUGCAUGCACCAGUAAUCUGGGAUUUGAACAACUUUCAGAAUUUGGACAGCAGUAUCAAAACCACACACAGUUUUUUUAGCAGGACAAUUGGUUGUUAAUGAUUACUUAGACAAAACAAAAAGCAAACUUAAGGAUCACAAUAAAUAAUUUCAAGAUAACUGGACUGUUUUCUAUUUAGUGACAUCAGACAGGUGCGUGAGCUGUUUCUGUUUAAAAUAUACAUUCUUUCACUUGUCUGUACAAUGGACUUCUGUACAUAAGGAUAUGACCUUCACUUUAAAGUAGUAAAGUAGUGGCAUUUCAGUGUGUAUAGCUCCUUGUUUUCACAACAUAGUUUACCGCUUUGCAAUUACAGCAUUUUUUUUCCCCUGUGAGUAUAGAAUUUCAGCCUGUAUCUCUUGAUCAUGAAGAAAAACCAUCCUAGGCAUUGCAAAAGAGUUAGGCAUAGAUCAGUCAGGAAUUAACAGGUUAGUUAAUUUCAAGUGAUUGAGUUUUAAACAGUGUUUGGAUUAUCCCAUGUAAAUGCACCUCAUGCUGUAAAUCACAGUGGUAAAACACAGCGAUUCCUGAGGGUAUAUCAAUCACAAACCUUCCCUAAUGAUUUUAAGAAUCUCCCAAAUGAAUUGGUAUAUUGACAGAACUCUGUCCACGGUGGGGAAUAUUUGUAGUUCAACAGCUGUAAAUCCUAGAAGAGUUGAAUAAUAUUACACUAAAACCAACUCUGUGACUGUUGCACACAUUCGCUCUACUUUCUCCAACCAUAUUAGGUUAUUUAACUGCUCUAGCAGAGAAGUGCUGUCUAUCACUGCUGUCUCCACCAGAAGGCUCACAACAAGAGGAUGUGCAUCUUGGGAGGCACUGAAGAUGUGCAUCCCACCCUAUUUGCAGACAAGGUAUCAAUCAGUUGUGUAAGCAACUGACUACAUGCUCAGGAUGAAGUUCCUCCCCUGAUGAGCAAAGUAGGCAUCACUUCAGUAUAGACAUGGUCAAUUCCUGCUUCUUGAUGAUACACCUUUUCUGAGUGUCUGAACUGUGUCAUUUUUAAUCCAGGGUCCUUGUGCUAAGCAUAAUUUGGAAGGAGAAUGAAAGAAACCCACUAUAUACUGGCAGAUGUUAGUUUAUCCCAUCUACAACAACUUGGGUACGAAUAAGUAUAUCAGAAGUAUUGUGAAAGUGCCCUGAUUUUGAUGGGAAAGAAAUAGAUCUUUGCUGGAGGUUGAGAUUUUCAAGGUUUGGUGUCCAGCUAUAGUGAUAAGUGAUGAGAGAUUUAAAAGUGGCAUCUUUCAUGGUGUGAGUACAUGUUACAUGCUGCAUAUGGCUGUAAGAGAACAUUUCCUCCAAUGAAAUUACAUACAUAAUUAAUGCCAUGGACAUUGUUAUGCAAGAACAGUGGCAUAGUUUUGAACUAUUC